AGGGGACUCACGUACACACCCAUUCUGAAGGCAAUCGCAUAACACCUUCAGCACGCAUCCAUCGCACAACACCUCAAGCACCCGUUCAUCCACCACGCAACACUCCAUUCAUUCAUCACGCAAGCCUGCAGAGGAACUCCCUCACGCACCGGCUCGCAUAUACCCGGCAGGAGGAAGAACGCAGGCACCCGAGCCGGCAUACACGGAGAGAGGAGGCCGGCGUACAGGGAGCUCGGCGGCUGUGACAUGGACGAGAAGCUCACCUUCCCCGAGGGUAAAACUUUGAUCUAACCCACCCCUUUCCUUGUUCCUUCUUUGCAUAUAGCAUGCACGCACACAGGUCAGGAGCGUUGCCAAAAGCAAUGUUCGCAUGAUCGGACCCCGUCGGAGAUGGAGCCGCCGGACCGGAAGAUGAAGUCGACGUUGCCGGAGAUGGUCUUCACCAAGCCAGCGCCACAAAGAACGACGAGGAGGUCGUCAUCACCACCUGCGGUUCGUCUCGUCACGACGGUUCGGCCAGGAAGACACGGAGCACGCCACGACGCCGCCCACCGUCGAGGUCGCCAGGUCGAUGCCCCGGAGAUUGACGCCGCGGUGGCCACUCCACUCAUCACCGCACGACGAGGACGACGCGUCGCCGGAGCUCAUCUUCACCAAGCCCGCGCUAUGGACGCUAACGCCACUGAGGUCGGUGUCACGGAGGUCGACGCCACGGUGGCCACCCCCACUCAUCACCGCUCGAUGAGGACACGCGUCGCCGGAGCUCAUCUUCACCAAGCCCGCGCUAUGGACGCUGACGCCACCGAGGUCGGUGUCACGGAGGUCGACGCCACGGUGGCCACCCCCACUCAUCACCGCUCGAUGAGGACGACGAGUCGCCGGAGCUCAUCUUCACCAAGCCCGCGCUAUGGACGCUGACGCCACCAAGGUCGAUGUCACGGAGGUCGACGCCACGGUGGCCAUCCCCACUCAUCACCGCUCAAUGAGGACGACGCGUCGCGGGAGCUCGUCUUCACCAAGCCCGCGCUAUGGAUGCUGACGCCAUCGAGGUCGAUGUCCCGGAGGUCAACGCCACGAUGGCCGCCCUCCACUCAUCGCCGCUAGACGAUGAUGCCGUUUAGCCAACCGUGGUGCUCCCCACCGGAUUCUUCACCAAGCUAGCUCCAUGGAGGCCAACGGCACACAAGUCACCAUCACCACUCACGCCCACUUCGCCACGAGGCGCCGUGGAAGGACAACGACACGGAGCAUGCCACGAUGCCGCCCACCGUUCGAUGUCGCCAAGCCGGCGCCAUGGAGGCCGAUGCCACGGAGACCACCCCCACUCCUCGCGCCCACUUCGUCACACGGUGCCACGGAACACAAUGACACAGGGCACGUCACGGCGCCGCCCACCGUCAAUAUCGUCAAGCUGGUGCCUUGGAGGUCGAUGACACGUAGGUCAACCUCACCGCUCUAUGGAGCCCGUCGUCCGCUUCAUCGCGCUGGAGGGACGCCGCUGAAGAUGGUGAUCUGGAGUUCGCCGUCGGGCCAUUCGUUCACUUCAUCAAGAUGGUGCCGUAGAAGUCGACGACGCAGAACUCGCCAUCACACUGCUCACCUCCAUUUCAUCAUGCCGAGGACCACGACAUGGUGCUCGCCACGAUGCCUCCCGGCGUUCAAAUCACCCGUCACACCCUUCGCCCACCUCGACGAGCCGGUACCAUGAAGGACGAAGCCGCGGACCAUGUCAACAUCACCAACUCCUUCACGUGGCAUGACGGUGCUGCUCGCGUCUCCUUCAAGGGAAACGAGAUCCCAUUUGGCAUCGGGGUAGUGCCUAUCCUUCAUCUCGCCCGGACUCGAUGGUGCCUUGGUGAUGGUGUCACGUUAGUCCAGCCAAACAUCAUGAAGUGGUCUACACAAGAACAAGAAGGCAUGCUCCUGAUACAUACUCGUGUGCGUCUAAGGCGUGAAGAUGGCCGUUUGGCUCACCACCUCAUGAAGCAAUGGACGUGGUACUCGGGAUGUCGCCGCACAUGCCGUCCAUUUCCAGCCGGAGGAUUUCGUCUACAUCAAAUGCUAUAGAAGAAUGAAGCUGAACAUUAAGUACGUCUGAAUGUGUGGCAGUGCACUACGUAAGUGGCCUUUGCACAUGCAUGGGCCAUGCACGUAGCCAAUGGCGAGGUGGCAUGCUCACCGCUGGUCGUUGUUCGCUUCAGCGCGUCUUACAUCAUUCAAGAAGAAGAGGUGGAGCUCGUCACAGCGUCGUACAUUCGUGGCGCCGCACGCUCAAGGAAGAGUCCCUGCAAGUGACGCCACAUCGUGAAGAUGACACCUUACAACGGCGCCUGUAUCCUGCUUGUGAAGAUGGUGCCUUGCCGCGGUGCCGCUGCUACACGCGUCACGCUCAUUCAUAGGCCGGAGCCGAGCAGGUUGGCACCGCCCGAGGACAAGGCGCGGCUGCAGGGCGACACGACUUCAACAACAACACCGCUCCUCUAUGAUCUCGUGAGAUGAUGCCUUGACUACGCCGACUGUCGUGGACUCAGCGUCUGGCCGGGACAAGGUGUCGACCACUCAGGCCACGCUGGCGCGAGCAACGCGACAGUCAUCACCGAUGAUGGUCUCCACCGACAAUUACUCUCGCAAGGCGUAGCCCCUUGCACACCCUGAGAAGCUACUGGUCGUCGAGAAGUCCGAGCCGAGCGCGAUCCAUGCUACCCCAACAACAACUCCUCCAACGCCGUCAAGACUGACGAGGCACGACGGCAAGGGCAAGCGCGGCCACCGCAAAGGCCACGCUACUUGCGGCGCGUGUACCGACGAGGACACGGGCUCUGCCGCCGCCCACACACACACAUCGCCAUCAUCAUGCAUGGAGAACGCGAAGCGAAGACGACGAAAACGACCACACAGCUCAAUCGUAGGUAUCCCGCGGAGCAACCCGCGGGAGUAAUUAACCGGGAGCCUUCCGAGGCCCCGGGAACCAGGAGAUCACACAAUCGCCACAGCCAGCUUGGCCGUGCUAGUAGGCCACGGAGCGCACCUUUUUUUAUGGGAUAUUGUAAUUUUAUUUCUCCAAUGAGAUUAAUGAAAUACAUGUUCCCGUA
Non-coding RNA from Triticum urartu, 3092 nucleotides. The record is from RefSeq and is a predicted model, not a curated record. Lineage: Eukaryota; Viridiplantae; Streptophyta; Magnoliopsida; Poales; Poaceae.